GAGUUUGAUCCUGGCUCAGAUUGAACGCUAGCGGGAUGCUUUACACAUGCAAGUCGAACGGCAGCGCGAGAGAGCUUGCUCUCUUGGCGGCGAGUGGCGGACGGGUGAGUAAUAUAUCGGAACGUGCCCAGUAGCGGGGGAUAACUACUCGAAAGAGUGGCUAAUACCGCAUACGCCCUACGGGGGAAAGGGGGGGAUCGCAAGACCUCUCACUAUUGGAGCGGCCGAUAUCGGAUUAGCUAGUUGGUGGCGUAAAGGCUCACCAAGGCAACGAUCCGUAGCUGGUUUGAGAGGACGACCAGCCACACUGGGACUGAGACACGGCCCAGACUCCUACGGGAGGCAGCAGUGGGGAAUUUUGGACAAUGGGGGAAACCCUGAUCCAGCCAUCCCGCGUGUAUGAUGAAGGCCUUCGGGUUGUAAAGUACUUUUGGCAGAGAAGAAAAGGUAUCCCCUAAUACGGGAUACUGCUGACGGUAUCUGCAGAAUAAGCACCGGCUAACUACGUGCCAGCAGCCGCGGUAAUAC
Molecule: ribosomal RNA, 528 nt
Filed under: uncultured Alcaligenes sp.
Lineage: Bacteria; Pseudomonadati; Pseudomonadota; Betaproteobacteria; Burkholderiales; Alcaligenaceae
Description: bacterial SSU rRNA
Rfam family: Bacterial small subunit ribosomal RNA
Source: RNAcentral